UGCUUAGAUUGUCUCGGUUCUACAAUCGCUUGAAUCUAGUGGGAGUUGAUCUUCCAAAUAAGAUAGUGAUUGACAUAGUUCUCCAAGUCACUGCCACAAAGCUACUGGAGCUUCGUGAUGAACUAUAACAUGCCAGGGAUGGAGAUGAUAAUCCCUGAGCUAUUCGCGACGUUUUACAAUGCGAAGGUAGAAAUCAAGAAGGAGCAUCAAGUAUUGAUGGUUAGUAAGACCA
This 232-nucleotide long non-coding RNA is filed under the name Hordeum vulgare. Its description in RNAcentral is "long non-coding RNA (HVUL_LNC012328)". The record is from RNAcentral. Lineage: Eukaryota; Viridiplantae; Streptophyta; Magnoliopsida; Poales; Poaceae.